AAAGACGACGUCGAAUGACGGAGAAGGUUAAACGGGCCGGCCUGUAGUUGGUCGGUGAAAGGGCGUAGGGCAACUGAAACCCGAGACGAGCCCCUAGGGCGAAGUCGUUGAUACCCCGCUUCAAAUAAAAGCUCGACGUCGAGGCGCAAGCAACCGUACCGCAAAACCGACACAGGUAGAUGGGAUGAGUAUUCUCAGACGCUCGGGAAAACCGCCGUUAAGGAACUCGGCAUACUGACCCCGUAACUUCGGGAUAAGGGGGAGCCGCCGCAAGGCGGCCGCAGGUAAUCGGCUCAUACGACUGUUUAUUAAAAGCACAGGUCUGUGCCAAGUCAAAACGACGCAGUAUACAGACUGACGCCUGCCCAAUGCUGGAAGGUUAACGGGAGCGGUCAGCCGCAAGGCGAAGCUGCGAACUCAAGCCCCAGUGAAUGGCGGCCGUAACUAUGACGGUCCUAAGGUAGCAAAUUCCUUGUCGGGUAAGUUCCGACCCGCACGAAUGGUGUAACGAGAUGGGCACUGUCUCAAACGGCGGAACCCGGCGAAAUUGCAAUCGCGGUGAAGG
This 565-nucleotide ribosomal RNA is filed under the name uncultured bacterium. RNAcentral describes it as "bacterial LSU rRNA". It matches the Rfam family "Bacterial large subunit ribosomal RNA", at positions 1455 to 2059 of the family's 2925-position model. The record is from RNAcentral.